Molecule: ribosomal RNA, 253 nt
Filed under: uncultured bacterium
Lineage: Bacteria
Description: partial 16S ribosomal RNA
Rfam family: Bacterial small subunit ribosomal RNA
Source: RNAcentral
UACGUAGGGGGCAAGCGUUGUCCGGAUUUAUUGGGCGUAAAGAGCGUGUAGGCGGCCUGACAGGUCUGCUGUGAAAACUCGAGGCUCAACCUCGAGAUGUCGGCGGAAACCGUCUGGCUAGAGUCCGGAAGAGGAGAGUGGAAUUCCUGGUGUAGCGGUGAAAUGCGCAGAUAUCAGGAAGAACACCUAUGGCGAAGGCAGCUCGCUGGGACGGUACUGACGCUGAGACGCGAAAGCGUGGGGAGCGAACAGG